UACGGAAGGCAGCAGUGGGGAAUAUUGGACAAUGGGCGAAAGCCUGAUCCAGCCAUGCCGCAUGAGUGAAGAAGGCCUUCGGGUUGUAAAGCUCUUUUAGUGAGAAAGAUAAUGACGGUACUCACAGAAGAAGUCCUGGCUAACUCCGUGCCAGCAGCCGCGGUAAUACGGAGAGGGCUAGCGUUAUUCGGAAUUAUUGGGCGUAAAGAGCGCGUAGGCUGAUUAGUAAGUUAAAAGUGAAAUCCCAAAGCUUAACUUUGGAAUUGCUUUUUAAAAACUGCUAGUCUAGAGAUUGAAAGAGGAUAGAGGAAUUCCUAGUGUAGAGGUGAAAUUCGUAAAUAUUAGGAGGAACACCAGUGGCGAAGGCGUCUAUCUGGUUCAAAUCUGACGCUGAGGCGCGAAGGGCGUGGGGAGCAAACAGGGAUUAGAUACC
This 433-nucleotide ribosomal RNA is filed under the name uncultured bacterium. Its description in RNAcentral is "bacterial SSU rRNA". It matches the Rfam family "Bacterial small subunit ribosomal RNA", at positions 340 to 786 of the family's 1533-position model. The record is from RNAcentral.